Boleophthalmus pectinirostris (great blue-spotted mudskipper) is the source of this 306-nucleotide long non-coding RNA. RefSeq lists it as uncharacterized. The record is from RefSeq and is a predicted model, not a curated record. NCBI's taxonomy places the organism in Eukaryota, Metazoa, Chordata, Actinopteri, Gobiiformes, Gobiidae. The transcript has 2 exons.
CUAGAGAAGAAGUGCAGUCUGUGCUCUUUCCUCGUGGCUGAAGCUUGUUAUUUUCAUGAGAAGAUUGUGGAGAUUUAUCUAGCUUUAAAGACAGAAGACAGAAGUGUCACUUGUGUAUGAAUGUUUGACCAAAUCUUCAGUGAGACUCGGUCGAGACGAUUCUUCACACCAUCUGCCACGUGGAUACAGCUAAAGUCUAAUCACCUGUAAUUUCAGAAUAACAAAUCGUGCAUUAUUCUGAAACAUACAUCACAUGUUUUCAUUUUACUUUUCAAUUCUGAAAUAAAUGGUUCAAUUGUUUUAAAA